CCUACGGGAGGCAGCAGUGGGGAAUAUUGGGCAAUGGGCGCAAGCCUGACCCAGCAACGCCGCGUGAAGGAAGAAGGCUUUCGGGUUGUAAACUUCUUUUAAGAGGGAAGAGCAGAAGACGGUACCUCUUGAAUAAGCCACGGCUAACUACGUGCCAGCAGCCGCGGUAAUACGUAGGUGGCAAGCGUUGUCCGGCUUUACUGGGUGUAAAGGGCUUGCAGCCGGGAAGACAAGUCAGAUGGGAAAUCCCGCGGCUCAACCGCGGAACUGCAUUUGAAACUGUUUUUCUUGAGGACCGGAGAGGUCAUCGGAAUUCCUUGGGGAGCGGUGGAAUGCGGAGAUAUAAGGAAGAACACCAGGGGCGAAAGCGGAUGACUGGAAGGCAACUGACGGGGAGGCGCGAAAGGGGGGGGAGCAAACAGGAUUAGAUACCCCAGUAGUC
This 442-nucleotide ribosomal RNA is filed under the name uncultured bacterium. RNAcentral describes it as "partial 16S ribosomal RNA". It matches the Rfam family "Bacterial small subunit ribosomal RNA", at positions 338 to 795 of the family's 1533-position model. The record is from RNAcentral.